This 73-nucleotide transfer RNA is filed under the name uncultured Acidimicrobiales bacterium. RNAcentral's name for it is "tRNA-Ala-GGC". It matches the Rfam family "tRNA". Rfam says of the family: Transfer RNA (tRNA) molecules are approximately 80 nucleotides in length. The record is from RNAcentral. Lineage: Bacteria; Bacillati; Actinomycetota; Acidimicrobiia; Acidimicrobiales.
GGGGCUAUAGCUCAGUUGGCAGAGCGCGUCCAUGGCAUGGACGAGGUCGCCGGUUCGAACCCGGCUAGCUCCA